ACGGGUGAAAACCCGGAAGUAGCCCUUGAUCGCCAAGGCUGAUGUUGGCGUGGGCGUUGCCAGGGCAACGGCCCUGCAUCCACGCCCCUUGCCUUGUAAAAAGCCUCCGGGAGGCACUGCCCGCCUGGGGUGGAGCAGUGGAGUUCAUGUGCACGUACCACAAAGGCUGUUCAAACGCACUGAAACAGUAAGCCACUCGUUCAUGUGACUACACAGUGAGGAGGCCUAUUAUAUCACUGUAUUGGGAGUGGCUGAGAAAUAACUUCUCCCACAGAUGUGGGAGGAUUCAGUGUGGAAUCCUAUGAUUUCAUGGAUCAAAUGGCUUCCGAGGGCUGCACCUGGAGUGAUUCACUGAAGGAAAAGUCUUUCCCAAAGAGAAUAAUAAACCUGAAGAAACUGGAGUAAAGUCUUGCUGUAACCUAAAUGUACAUAAUGGUUGUUGAUGAAGAUGUUGAACAAGACCGGACCCAGCAGUGACUCCUGGGAAACAAAAGUUACAGGCCUCCAACUAGAUUCUGUGCCACUGAUCACAGCACUCUGAGAUCUGCUAGUCAGUUCUCAAUCCACCUCACUGCCUACUAAUCUCUACCGCACUUCCUGAGAUUACCUAUGAGGACGUUAUGGGAGACUGUCAAAAGCCUGAUGAUGUAUAAAUUCCAAGUUGCCUUUAAAGCAAAGGCUGAGCUACCAAAUGCUAUAGUAAACUCUGAAAUAUGAUUUAGAGUGUUAAAUAACUUAAUAUCUUUUGAAAUUUUUGCCUGCCACCAAUAAAAUGGUUGGGUUCUAUGUGAAAAAGGAGGUUUAACAUCAUUUCAUGAGUUCCUGAACUUUUUGGCUUAUGACUUGUUCAGGCAACUAUAACUUUCAAACAGAAAUGACACUUUUCAAAUCCUCUUUUUGCAGAAUUCAGCACUGGGACUUUCUGUUUAUAGCAAAGAAUGAGUGAACUUUGCUAGACUUAUGAACUUCCCCAGGGAUAUCUAAUGCAAAUCCUAUCAUGAUAUUUGGAAACUGAGGACUAAAUUAUGCUUUUGAGUGCAGAGGAUUUCUAAAUAUCUUCAUUUUGAUUCAGAGAGAAGUAUAGUAACCAAUGAAUGGGGUAUGCAUUCCACAAAAAAUAAAUUUCUCCCAUAGCUAAAGUCAAAACUUGAGUUACUAUCACUUUUUAAACACUGAAGCCCAGCUUUUUGGCAAAAAGAUAAUUACUUCCAUAUCAGAUCUUUGUAUUCCAAGAAGCAGAAAUUCACUCUGCCAAAAUCUCCUUCUCCUGUGAUGGCACUGCAACAAAGUAAUACGUUCUCAUUGUAAAAAGCAUUGUGGACAAUUACAGUGAAAAUAUAUCUGUCCCAGUGUCCUCAAGUAUCUUUCAAUAAUCCUAGUCAAAACUGCUUUUUUGACCUAUCACCUACUGAUGAUGGUGAUCCUUCAUAGUGAAAAUACUAAUGGUAAAAAAAUGAGUUCCAUUCUUAAUUGUGUAGAAGAAAGUAACUCAUAGGUUGUGGUAUUUCUAAAGCCAGCUGACUGAGGAGAAAAAUAUUUGUUUGGAUGUCGCAGACAGAGCUUGGAUCUAUCCUAAU
Numida meleagris (helmeted guineafowl) is the source of this 1577-nucleotide long non-coding RNA. RefSeq lists it as uncharacterized. The transcript is spliced from 3 exons. The record is from RefSeq and is a predicted model, not a curated record. NCBI's taxonomy places the organism in Eukaryota, Metazoa, Chordata, Aves, Galliformes, Numididae.